UAGGGAAUCUUCGGCAAUGGACGGAAGUCUGACCGAGCAACGCCGCGUGAGUGAAGAAGGUUUUCGGAUCGUAAAGCUCUGUUGUAAGAGAAGAACGAGUAUGAGAGUGGAAAGUUCACACUGUGACGGUAUCUUACCAGAAAGGGACGGCUAACUACGUGCCAGCAGCCGCGGUAAUACGUAGGUCCCGAGCGUUGUCCGGAUUUAUUGGGCGUAAAGCGAGCGCAGGCGGUUAGAUAAGUCUGAAGUUAAAGGCUGUGGCUUAACCAUAGUACGCUUUGGAAACUGUUUAACUUGAGUGCAAGAGGGGAGAGUGGAAUUCCAUGUGUAGCGGUGAAAUGCGUAGAUAUAUGGAGGAACACCGGUGGCGAAAGCGGCUCUCUGGCUUGUAACUGACGCUGAGGCUCGAAAGCGUGGGGAGCAAACAGGAUUAGAUACCCUGGUAGUCCACGCUGUAAACGAUGAGUGCUAGGUGUUAGACCCUUUCCGGGGUUUAGUGCCGUAGCUAACGCAUUAAGCACUCCGCCUGGGGAGUACGACCGCAAGGUUG
Molecule: ribosomal RNA, 550 nt
Filed under: uncultured bacterium
Lineage: Bacteria
Description: bacterial SSU rRNA
Rfam family: Bacterial small subunit ribosomal RNA
Source: RNAcentral